This is a transfer RNA of Sphaerobolus stellatus SS14, 87 nucleotides long. It matches the Rfam family "tRNA". From Rfam's summary of the family: Transfer RNA (tRNA) molecules are approximately 80 nucleotides in length. The record is from Rfam. NCBI's taxonomy places the organism in Eukaryota, Fungi, Basidiomycota, Agaricomycetes, Geastrales, Sphaerobolaceae.
GCCCGUUUAGCACAGUGGUAGUGCGUUCCACUUGUAAAUUUCGAAGUUCACAUGGAAAGGUCGCUCGUUCAAUCCGGGCAGGGGGCA